CGGGUGCGGAGAAGGCAAAAGUUCACCUGAAUGCCCCAAGAUGCUCGCGCAUCUUUGGAAACGCGAAGUGGCAUUUAGGGAGCUAGAGGCGACUCAGGCCCAACCGGCUUGAUAGAAGACGCCUCGAGCUUGGCUGAGCGGAGUUUUCGGUAUGUUUCAAGAUCCUUCGGGGUUGCGACACUAUCAACCAAUAGCGAUGUGAGGUCCGGUCAGGAUUCCUUCGGGAAUUUUGACUGAGUGAGAAGCUCAAGCCCACUUCGAGCUUGAGUGGAACGCAGUUGCCUAAAAGGUGUAGGUUGCCUACUGCAGCAUCAGCACGGCAGGAAUCGAAAAUUGACCGGCAACGGUCAGCCAGUCGAAAUCCUCUGAAAAGAGGGACAAAGCUGGGGUUCCCGUCGGGAUAGCCACGAGCCCAAGACAACGGCCGUGAAAACUAUCCGACCCGGUGGCGAUGCAAAAAAUGCAGCGCUGCCUAGUGAACGAAUGGUAACCUGAGGGGUAAGAGGCGAGACCCGUGGCACAGGCCAACGCACCGUCAAAAGCGGUGGCCGACCUGUGCCAGAUGGCCCGGAUGUGAAAGGUUCACUUCCGCAUCCAGGCCUGGUUCGCAGGUCAGUGGCCGCAACCACUGGCUGAAGCGGGCAAAUAAACCUCACCCAAGAAUCCAUGUGCCGUGAGGCCUUGGACGGCCCUGCUAUGAGGCCGACAACUCCGCGAGUCACGGAGAAUGGCGUCGGGGAGCGACCGACCUGCAUCGCAGGUGCCAAACGGUUGCAACGGGAAAGAGCGUGUGGCGAGCGCC
Molecule: non-coding RNA, 802 nt
Filed under: unclassified sequences
Description: MISL RNA
Rfam family: MISL RNA
Source: Rfam by way of RNAcentral